RNAcentral lists this ribosomal RNA (490 nucleotides) under uncultured bacterium. Its description in RNAcentral is "partial 16S ribosomal RNA". It matches the Rfam family "Bacterial small subunit ribosomal RNA", at positions 30 to 507 of the family's 1533-position model. The record is from RNAcentral.
AUUGAACGCUGGCGGCAGGCCUAACACAUGCAAGUCGAACGGUAACAGGAAGCAGCUUGCUGCUUCGCUGACGAGUGGCGGACGGGUGAGUAAUGUCUGGGAAACUGCCUGAUGGAGGGGGAUAACUACUGGAAACGGUAGCUAAUACCGCAUAACGUCGCAAGACCAAAGAGGGGGACCUUAGGGCCUCUUGCCAUCGGAUGUGCCCAGAUGGGAUUAGCUAGUAGGUGGGGUAACGGCUCACCUAGGCGACGAUCCCUAGCUGGUCUGAGAGGAUGACCAGCCACACUGGAACUGAGACACGGUCCAGACUCCUACGGGAGGCAGCAGUAGGGAAUAUUGCACAAUGGGCGCAAGCCUGAUGCAGCCAUGCCGCGUGUAUGAAGAAGGCCUUCGGGUUGUAAAGUACUUUCAGCGGGGAGGAAGGGAGUAAAGUUAAUACCUUUGCUCAUUGACGUUACCCGCAGAAGAAGCACCGGCUAACUCCGUG